RNAcentral lists this signal recognition particle RNA (91 nucleotides) under Planctomycetota bacterium. Its description in RNAcentral is "signal recognition particle sRNA small type". It matches the Rfam family "Bacterial small signal recognition particle RNA". Rfam says of the family: The signal recognition particle (SRP) is a universally conserved ribonucleoprotein involved in the co-translational targeting of proteins to membranes. Archaeal SRP consists of a 7S RNA and homologues of the eukaryotic SRP19 and SRP54 proteins. The record is from RNAcentral. Lineage: Bacteria; Pseudomonadati; Planctomycetota.
UGUGGUUGUGGGCGCGGCGAGAGGCCGUGAACCUGGUCAGGUCCGAAAGGAAGCAGCCAUAGCGAACCCCCUCGGGUGCGCCCACCUAACU